CAUUCAUCAAAACCGGCUUAUUUUUUUAACACACGACACUACAUCUCACAACUACAUACAUACCUACACAGACUGUUAAAAACCAGAAUUCUUCUUAUAAUUAGCACAGACAGCACAGCGGAUGUCAUUCCAGAUCUAGAGCAGAGCCCAACUGGGGAAGUACUCCACCUUACAGAAAACCGCAGUCAAAUAACACUAGACCCUAAACUAUGUGUGUUCCUGCCGGUGAGUAAGUUGCCAGAGCUGAACGAGGGUGCGGAGUGUUAAGGUCGGCAACUUUUCUGGAGUUACAGGCAUAUAUAGGCUACGGCGACUGCUUCCAUCAGGGGAGCCGUACGUUGUUUGCCUCCGACGUAGUAUAAAAAAUAAUCUUAACGGCAUCGGAAUUCCAAGUUACAUUGAGAAUUCAUCAGUAACAAUGUUCUAACCAAAAUAAACUAAUUAUUUAUUUA
Cydia pomonella (codling moth) is the source of this 452-nucleotide long non-coding RNA. RefSeq lists it as uncharacterized. The record is from RefSeq and is a predicted model, not a curated record. The transcript is spliced from 2 exons. NCBI's taxonomy places the organism in Eukaryota, Metazoa, Arthropoda, Insecta, Lepidoptera, Tortricidae.